GGGUCGUUAGCUCAGUUGGUAGAGCAGUUGACUUUUAAUCAAUCGAGCGCAGCGUCGAAUCCUGCACGACCCACCA
RNAcentral lists this transfer RNA (76 nucleotides) under Escherichia coli. RNAcentral's name for it is "tRNA-Lys". It matches the Rfam family "tRNA". From Rfam's summary of the family: Transfer RNA (tRNA) molecules are approximately 80 nucleotides in length. Their secondary structure includes four short double-helical elements and three loops (D, anti-codon, and T loops). The record is from RNAcentral. Lineage: Bacteria; Pseudomonadati; Pseudomonadota; Gammaproteobacteria; Enterobacterales; Enterobacteriaceae.